ACAAAGGCUCUUUUCAGAGCCAUCCACUUCGUCAUUUAAAAGAGC
Molecule: non-coding RNA, 45 nt
Organism: Mus musculus (house mouse)
Lineage: Eukaryota; Metazoa; Chordata; Mammalia; Rodentia; Muridae
Source: Rfam